Tupaia belangeri chinensis (Chinese tree shrew) is the source of this 337-nucleotide long non-coding RNA. RefSeq lists it as uncharacterized. The transcript has 2 exons. NCBI's taxonomy places the organism in Eukaryota, Metazoa, Chordata, Mammalia, Scandentia, Tupaiidae. The record is from RefSeq and is a predicted model, not a curated record.
GAGAGGGAAACUUUGCUUCUUGUUAUAAUCUGCCAGUCUUUGGGCGGCAGCAGCUGUCAUGGGACCCGGUGGGCGGGGAGAGUCUUGCAAGCCGACUCCUUGCGGUGAGACGCGACUUUGAGGAAGUGAAAUUACUCCGUCAAAGGAACUGUGCAGGCGUUUGGUAAACACAUUUCUGGAUUGCCUUCUAGAAAUAGUGUGCUAAUUUACACACUUACCAGCAUCGUGUGGGAACGCCUGGUUCUCCAUAUCCAGAUAACUCUUGGUAUUUGUAUCGUUUUUCAUUUUUACCAGCCUGUUCAUCAAUAAAUUCUGUCACCCUUAUUGUUUUAAUGUG